This 93-nucleotide transfer RNA is filed under the name Bifidobacterium breve. RNAcentral describes it as "tRNA-Arg(gcg)". The record is from RNAcentral. Lineage: Bacteria; Bacillati; Actinomycetota; Actinomycetes; Bifidobacteriales; Bifidobacteriaceae.
UUGCGGUGGGAGAGGUCCGCUUCGGAGGCGUCGCGGCCGCCUUGGGUUUCGGAAUAGCCGGCGAAAUGUUUGGCGCAGGCCAGGAUUGCGUUC